RNAcentral lists this ribosomal RNA (305 nucleotides) under uncultured bacterium. RNAcentral describes it as "bacterial SSU rRNA". It matches the Rfam family "Bacterial small subunit ribosomal RNA", at positions 335 to 637 of the family's 1533-position model. The record is from RNAcentral.
UGCCUUACGGGGCGCAGCAGUGAGGAAUAUUGGUCAAUGGGCGCGAGCCUGAACCAGCCAAGUAGCGUGAAGGAUGACUGCCCUACGGGUUGUAAACUUCUUUUAUAAAGGAAUAAAGUGAGGCACGUGUGCCUUUUUGUAUGUACUUUAUGAAUAAGGAUCGGCUAACUCCGUGCCAGCAGCCGCGGUAAUACGUAGGGAGCAAGCGUUAUCCGGAAUUAUUGGGUGUAAAGGGUGCGUAGACGGGACAGCAAGUUAGUUGUGAAAGCCCUCGGCUUAACUGAGGAACCGCAACUAAAACUAUU